Molecule: long non-coding RNA, 1380 nt
Filed under: Macaca fascicularis (crab-eating macaque)
Lineage: Eukaryota; Metazoa; Chordata; Mammalia; Primates; Cercopithecidae
Description: lncRNA (ENSMFAG00000060077.1)
Source: RNAcentral
UUUUUUUUUUUUUUUUUUUUUUUUGAGUCAGAGUCUCGCUCUGUUACCCAGGCUGGAAUGCAGUGGUGCGAUCUCAGCUCACUGCAACCUCUACCUCCCAAGUUCAAGCGAUUCUCCUACCUCAGCCUCCCCAGUAACUGGGAUUAUAGGCACUCGCCGCCACACCCAGCUAAUUUUUGUAUUUUCAGUACAGACGGGGUUUCACCAUGUUGGCCAGGCUGGUCUUGAACUCCUGACCUCAAGUGAUCCGCCCACCUUGGACUCUCGAAGUGCUGGGAUUGCAGGUGUGAGCCAUGGCGCCUGGCCUCGAGCAUCUUCUUAGAAGUAUCGCCCCACAGCCCCAUGGGGGAGGCAGGAUAGUACCUGUUAGAGACAAAGAUAGUGAACCCUGAGAAAGGAGGAGAAGGCUGAGGCAGCACAGGCUCCACUGGGCCUAGAACCUGGCUCUCCAGGGUCCCAGUGCCCUCUCCAGGUGCCUGGGCAAAACUGCUGACCAUGGCCUGGCUCCAAGAGUGACUUGGUACUUUCGCCCAUCACCCCAGGCUGGCCCUAGAGUCCACCCCAUGGGCCUUUGCCUCCUUUCCUUCCUGCCGGGGUCGACCCAGCCUUCAGAAGGCCCCCCGCAGCCUCAGUUACUGUGGAGAGUGGGGGACGAGGGGAGGAUGGCUUAUCCCACAGCUGCUGCCCAGAUGUGCCAGCUCCCACCUGGCUCUCCCAGCAACUGCCUGUCUGCCUGGAGAAAGCCAGGGAGUGGGGGCUCCCAAGAAGGCUGCUCAGAAGUCCCUCUCCCUGAGGAGGAAAGAGCUGGGUCAAAGGCCCUUUGCCCUGUUUGCCCUAUGCCUCCACCCCAAGCCUCACACUAAUGCCAAGAACAGCCUUGCAGUGUGGGCAGCCAGCAUUGUGUUACCCACUCAGCCGAGGGGAGGCUGAGCAGAUGUCUCCAGACCCCUGGCACCUGCUUACUUUGGAUCCGAACUCCCUCUUGGGUCUCACUCUUCCCAUUAAUUUGGCAAAGAUUCCCUGAGCCCCCACUAUGUAUUCCUUUAAUAAAUCAUGUUUGGUAUUUGGUGAACGCUUACUAUACCCUUGGCACUGUUCCGAAGACAUUAUUAUCCUAUUGACUCCAUUAAUAGCUGUCACAAUCAUGUGAGGUAGAUUAUAUUACUAUGCCCAUUUCAUAGAUGGACACACUGAGGUGCCGAGAAAUAAAGUAACUUGCUUGGUACCACACAGCCAGGAAGGGGCAGGGCCAGGAUUUGAACCCGGUCUGUCUAGGAUGCUUCUCUGGCAAGUGACUGUCUUAUCUAACUUGGCGAAGAAAGUGUAGCAAGACUCAGGAAGCCAGAUUACCUCUAAUUCAUUGCGCUGGCACAAGGGACC